Canis lupus familiaris (dog) is the source of this 8307-nucleotide long non-coding RNA. RefSeq lists it as uncharacterized. The record is from RefSeq and is a predicted model, not a curated record. NCBI's taxonomy places the organism in Eukaryota, Metazoa, Chordata, Mammalia, Carnivora, Canidae. The transcript is spliced from 3 exons.
UGAAGUAUUCUGCAGCCACUGAAAGUGUUUCUGAGAAACAGAAAAUAACCUGGAAGAGUACUUAUAUUUUAAAGUGUAAAAGGCAGACUAUAACACGUUGCAUUUCAAUAGAUCAAAACCAUGUAAUGUAAACAAAACAGAUGUGUGGAAAAAAACCCCAGCAUUACAAAGAAUCUGCCAAAAUAUUAAUAAUAGUGUUCACUGGAGGAUAGGAAAAUAAGAAAUAUAUUUAUCUUUUUCUUCAUUUUACAUAUUUUCCAAAUUUUUGUAUGAGUAUAUAUUAUUUUAGAACAGUGUUGCUCAGUAGGACUUUCUACAAUGAUGGGAUUAGGCUAUAUUUGUGCUGUCUAAUCCAUAACCACUGGCUACUGUGCAUUUGAAAUAUGAUUAGUGUGAUUGAGGAACUGGAUUUUUAAUUGUACUAAAUUAUAUGAAGUGUAAAUUUUAGUAGCCAAAUGAGCCUAGGGACUACUUUAUUUGACAGUGCUGUUUUAAAGUGCAAAAAUAAUAAGAAAUAUCUAUUAUAUCUCAAUAAAGCUGUUAAAAUAGUAUCUAAAAUGUGUUUACUAUUAUCAAGUUUUGAAAUUUUAUUACACAGUGUGGGAGUGAGUUUGACUUCACAAGAGAGACGAUGGACACAGCACAGAAAAACGUUGGGGCUUUUAUUUAAAUGGUUUCUUUUCCAGCUCAAUAGAAAAAUGAUCCAGCAUUAAGCUUAUUUGUACCUGAGUUCAGUUUCAGACUAGAAAGAAACCAUCACCUGGAUGUCAUAGUAGUUGUUCUGCAACAACUUUCUUCAAUUAUGAAAAUAUUCUUUUCUAAACAUAUCUUGAUCUUUACACAAGUUCAAACCAUGUAAGUAAUAGGUUUUGAGGUGAGGACAAAGCUUGUUAUCCCCACUUUGUAGAUGUAAAAAAUCAGGUCCAUGAUGGUUCAGUUCCCAAAGACAUGAGACAAGAAGCAAAGGCAAAGCCUCUUAGUUCUUGAAGCCCAGAGGAUUUUAUCAUCUUUCACAAUAUGGACAGAACAAUUUCUAAUAAACUGUCUUGGGAAGGGGUCUUCCCAAAGGAAUUGGAAAUAUUUGCUUUUUUAAAAGUCCUUUCAAUGAAGCCUUUUUUAUUUGUUUGGUUAGUUGGUUUUGUUUUUGUUUUUUGGCUUCUAGAACUGUCUGAAGAUUAGUUUGCAGAAAGCAAGGCACUGCACAUCUAUCAAAGGUUGCCCUUUAUUUGUGUCUGUGUCUUCAUGCUCUCCAUGGAAUGCCACACAAAACCCCUUGUCUUUUCAUGUGAGCUUACCGUGGACCCCCAGCCCCGAAACUCCAUCUGUCUUCCCUCCCUCCCACACGUAGCCCCUCUUGGAGUUAGCCAAUCAUAAUUCUGCAUCUGGGAUUUAGAGAUGUAGAUUUAGAAAUGUGCUGAGCUUUUCUGGGAUCACGUUCCCUGGAUGGCUGAGGCACAGUGGACAGUAGUAUGAGAGAGAUGAGCUCAGCUGAGCAGGCACCGGGGUGCUUCCCACUCCCGCCCCACACACUCUUCAUCGGUGGCCCCCCAAGUGUUUGCUAAGAGCAGCAGUCAGGAGUACAAUUUAACAUAAAUGAAUCCACUGAAUUUUUUCAGACCUCAAGUCUCAAUCCUUUUUGGUUCAAGUUCUAGGGAAAGGUUGGAGCCAGUUGUGAUUUAAAAAAAUAAUAAUAAUAAAAAAUUGGUUCACCCGUCUGUCAGAACAGCCAAGAAAUAUUCACAUGAGGAGGACUAUCCAAAAAAAUGAAGAGUAGCUCUUUUCCAAGACAGAUCUCUGGAACUCUCUCCCUCCCUUGCUCAGAACCACUUCCUCUCCUCAAAUCUCACUUUAAAACCUUCCUGUUUGUUUUAGCCUAUGACUGACUCAGGCCCCAUUCAUCUUUCUUUCCUCUCUCCCCAUGACCACAUCCUUCCACUCUCCCCUCACCGUCCACCGUGAGAACACUCGCUUGCCUCGUACCUCCCUCGUUCCUCAGCCCCUUGCGUGUUACCCUCCAGCCUGCAUGGACCACCCUCACCGGGCCCAGACGUGUUUGGAAGCGUGAGGGCCUGCUCCACGUGGGUGUCUGUGCCUCUCCCCCCUUCUUAGAGGAGGAGGUAACGGAUCCUAAUGGUACUUCUGCUUGAAGAGGUGCUUCACCAAUUGUAUUUUUAAGUUAUAAAUUCAGAUGCUUGAGAAGCAGAACACAAAAGGACCUUGUAACAGACUGCAAAGACACCAACUCUCAGCCCUGUUCCCCUUGGGAUACUUCAGGUAAAGCCUGAAGGAGAGGUGGGAAUAAAACACAGGCCAAAUCAGAGCUGCUGUUUCACCUUCAGAAUAAAGUUAUGAUGGUCUCACCUGUGCUUCCUAUUUCUCUCAAGUAACAAGAGAAGUUAACCCCCACUGAAGUUCUGAGGCAGGAUCGGCCCUGGGAGCACAGUCCCAGAGCAAGCCCAAGUGUUUGAAUUCUUUUAGUUCAGGGUGCUUACCCAGUAUUUUCUGAAGGGUGUGGUUUCAGGUUGGUUCCCUGGACAAUGGGUAUGCUGUGGCUUUCCCCUGAUGCAUCGCUUCCCUCCCUCCCAGGAUGGAACCUUCUCCCACAAAUGUGGAGGCAGGUCAGUCUGCUCCCAUCCCCAGAGGGGGCUCACUGCUGGUGCCAAAAGAAGUGCAUCCGGAACCGAGUGUCCCAUUUUUUUACCUGAUGAAACACAUACUCAUCUCACUUUUGGUCCUAUCGCAGUAAUAACAGCUGCCAUUUCUCUACCACAUAUUGUUUCCAAAGCACAUUUGUACUUAUAAUGGGAAGUAUGUAAGGCAGGUUUUAAUAUUCCCAUUUUACCUUUAAGGGACUAAGGUCAACAUGACUUGCCUGAGGUCUGAGGUCACAGAGGCAGUGAUUGGGGGAGUUGGAAUCCAUAUAAAUCUUCUAGAGGAACUACAGACCAACCAUAGACAUCCCCACAUGAGUGCAUCAGUGUCUGGAGAGGAACAGUCUGGAAAGGUUUCCACAUGAAAAUUUGCAAGACGAAGCCCAAGAGACAGAGCAUGCCAGAUGUUGUGGAGAGCAUGACUGCCCAGUCCCUUCGGCCACACAUGCUGAAGUCAUGAAGUUGGGAAAUCUGACUCAGGAGUCACCAUCCAGUGUGGGAGCUGACAAAGCGCCAAAUGGUCUGGGACAACUGGUCGACAUGGGAUGUUUGCACCAGUCUUUUAUGGAUUCAGGAGGCUUGAGCUCUAUGCUCAGUCUUGAUACAACCUGGCAAAGCCAACGGGCUCCUCUUCUGUGGCCCUGCUGUCAGCUCUGGAGGCAGCCAGGGCUGCUUGCCUGGAGACAAGAGCACCUUGCUGGGCUCCCAUGGAAGACAUUCCCCAGACAUGGAGUCCUGUCAUCAGCAUUGCCUCCGUACCCUGGUUCUCAAAGGAAUUUGCAUAAUCGUCACCUGUGAAACUUGUGAUGAGCACAGAUUGCAAGCUGCCAGCCCCAGAGGUCUGGGGGGCCACCGUAGACCACUGCAUCUUCAGUCAGUUGCCAGGCAGAGUUGCUGAGAAGUGCUGGCAUGCCCGGGACAGCUGCCUCAAGAACUCCUCUUUCCAAGGAUGCCUCCACAUGUCUCCUUCGAUCCCCCCGCCCAGCAGGUGCAGACAUUUGCUAACAGAAGUUCUUUGCUGUAUUGCUGUAUGUCAGAGCAUUUUACAACUAGCUUUCUGCAGAACAGUAAAAAACAAAAGAGUUCAGCUUAAACAUAGCCAAACAACUUUUAACAGAGCAGUAAAGUGAUUUCCUCACUGGGCUCUGCUCUGAGGCAGAUCUGAGAAGUUCUUGUCAUGCUGGACCUUUUUUCAAGUUUACCCUGGGCCCAUCUCAGAUUCACCCUACAAGAGACCUGGACUGCCAGGUGGAAUGUGGUCUCCAAGGACCAUUACACUGGAUGAUUUCAGACCUGUGUCCUGGGGGGCAGCUGGGAGCUGGCUGAGGCCUCAGGCCAGCUGGGUAGCAGAGCCCCAUGCCCAGCACUGCCUGGUGGCCUUCCGAGCUCCACCACAUGGGUGGUCUGCGUGCUGGCAGAGCACAAGGCUGCAGGAGUUCACAGCCCCCUCUGGGGGACAUGACGAAUGGCCUUGCUGACAAACCGUGGUCUGCUUUCCAUCUCUGAGCCAUGAACGGUUUCGUUUUCAAAGCCAGAAAACAAACCACGGGAACCAGACACAACACACGCAGGCCACAAAUGAUGCAGCCAUAGUCUCGUCUCAAGGAAGGGACCUGCAAAGGUAAAAGAAACACAGCUUUGUUAGAACUCUUCGAUGAAAAGUUAAUACAGAAAACUCAACCAGAGCUUGUAAUGGGACCUCCUGUGCCCUCCCCAACUGGGCCUUCUGGCCUGGGGGAGAGUCAGUCCUCUCUCAUGGCCAGACCCAUCUGAUACUGGUCUUCUCCAGGGGCUUUCCAACUGGGCUCCAACCCUGGGGGCUUCCCAGGCCACCGUGGAGAGGGAUUUGGGCAGGCCAGAAAGUACUCUCGCUCCCCUGCACUGACCAGCUGCAUUUCUAUCUGACUUAUUCUUAUAGUGCUCCCAAGAUCUCUUUUGAAGGAAAUGUUCUGCAGGUAAACAACAUUUGAACUAUUCUAGUCUGCGCCGAUCCCAUGUACAUUCCAAUGGAUGCUUCCAGUAAAGAAUGGAGGAGGUCAGGAUAGCAAUUUUACAAGAAGUGCAUCAAUUUCUGUGUCCCUCUGUCUGAUGUUGCCCACCAGUUCCCUUUAUCACCCUCUGCCCCUUCCUUUGGGCACUGGCAUGAUAAUUUAGGGUUGUGUUAUCAAAAGCCAGAAAGAACUAACAAAGAAUUAGGUCACUGUAGGAGCCCAUGGACAUAGGCCUGUCCUCUCCUUGUUCCUACAGCAACAUAGGAAAUAUCACAGAUAACUUGAGCCUGGAGAAGGAUGGGUCACGUUUUUAGGUCCACCUCCCAUACAUGAGUGCUCCCUACUGGCCACAUGUAUAAUAAGUGAUAUUGUUCCUCUAGCUAUAGCUGAAUCAGUCUUCCUAGCGUAGUGGUGAUCUUCACCACGUAUUCACGCCAAUGCAGGAGGUGGGAUGAGAAGUAGGAUGAUAAGCAUUGUGGGAGAAAGCACAUUGUGGGCAAAGGCAGGGAGGCAUAAAUGAAUAAGGAAUGUGGUAGGCUGCGGGGAGCACCUGACAAGGAGGGUGGGGCCCUUGUCAUGUUGGGUUAGAGUAUUUGGAAUAUUCUUUUAGACAAUUGGGAGACUUUUGGAAGUAGUUUAAGCAUUUGUAAUGAUCAAAUCUAAAUAUUUCAAAGUUAAUGCUAGUGACUCAGUGGAACAUGGAUAGGGAGUGGAGAGGUGGUUAAGAGAUGCUUUCUCAAAAUGGUUCAUUUUUUCAGUCAUGCAAAAAACUUCAUGGAGUGUGUGUCAAAGGGGAGAGGAUGAGGGCUUAAACUAUGGUGGUCACUGGAGAAAGGAGGAAGACAUUCACAACAUAUGUCCAACAAGACCUGAUGACUGAUUGGCUGUGGGUCUGAGGGAGGGGCAGGGGUCAGGGGUUACUGAGACCACAGAGGGACCGAUAGGACCAUUACUCCACAGAGAAGUUCUCUAGGGUGUGGGCUGGGGAGCAGUGGGGAUGUGUACAGAAAUGAGCACAUUUCUCUCUAAGCAAAGAGACUAUCCUAGCAUUUGGAGGACCUUCAGGAGAUUUAGCAUCAAUCCACACCUUUAAAAAAAUUAAUGUGAAAGCAAAGAAGUAUAUUACAGGAUGAUGUGAAACAAUCAGAAACGUGCUAACAGGGAGGUCAUCGGAAGAACAAUUUAUUGUAAAGGAAUGUGAUCCCAGUACUAGUGUGAAAGCCCUUUCAGGAGCAUUUGUGCCUCCUAAUGAUUCAUAGCAAGGCCAGGACACCAUCACCUUCAGUGAGGGUGGGCUUCUUUGGAGAGGUUAGAUAAACAUUUGGGCUGGUGGAAAAAUGCUGGCUGAACUUCUUUUGAGGAAGUGUGCUCAAGGGAAUGAGGUGAGAGCAGAAGAUUCUAUUUUCUGCCAGUUUUCUCCCCUUCCUCAUUCUCAUCCAUUCAGAACAUUCCUUGGAGGUGGUUUCUCAAGCUUCUGAAAUCCACACUUGGUUCUCUCUCUCUUUCUUGCAUGUGCACCCACAUACACUCGCACAUAUCUACUCACACAGUUAAAUACGGACAACUCUGUGAGUUACUGGGAUAUUUUUUCCAUAUCAACUACUUCCCCAUAGAAGCAUGAGAAAGAUUAAAUGGCCAGAGAAUAACAGAAAGAGCAAGGCUUUGGUGCCAGACAAACCCAGAGUCUCAUUCUGCCUGAUGUGAUCCAGUGUGAGACACUGAGCUUCCCUGAACCUUGAUUCCUUUAAAACUUCUUAGAGCCAUCUCAGUAUUGGAUGCAACGUCCAUAAAGUAUCUCAGAAGGCAUUUGAUAACUGUUAGGAUGAAAUUAGGACUUUGUGACUGUAUGCUGUAAAGGCUUCCUUGUUUCAUUGUUCAUAAUAGUGAAGCAUGGUCCCAGCAUAUCCUCCAACAGGUAAAAUUCUCUAGAAACAAAACUUUAGCAAAUAUCAGUGUGGAAUUUAUUAAUGUUUUAUUUAAUUACUUGGGGGCAUUUAAUGAAAGAAUGAAUUAUUAAGUGAGAACAUUGAUUGUUCCCUGUGUAUGGCAAGAAGAUCUCCUGUGUAUGCUUAAAAUAGCUCCAUAAAAUGUAGAGCAGACCACAGUAAAUUAAAGAAAGGAAGGAAAAUGGAAUGAGGAUUGAAAAUACGAUUUAGCCUGGAAGUCUGCAUAAAACGACAGCCACGCCCCAAUUAUCCUACAUCCCCCAUACCUGGAACUUGCAGCUAUUCUAGAAUGGGUGGUGACUCCAGACCCAAAAGAGAAUAAAAUGCUGCUGCAGGAAGUUGAAGAUGCAUGACCAUUGGGCUCAUGGGCUAGGCAAGGUGAGCUCCCUGGUUUCCCUACCCCUCUAGACUGCUCACCCCUCUUCACCCUACUGUGCUCCCUGGAAGCCUUGCUUUUGGGCUUCUUGUUAAGUUCGUCCAAUGGAAGACCCUUGCAGGAUAUGGAAGGGAGGGAAGAGAGAAAGUUCGGGAUAUUUAUUCCCCUAGUUCUUUCACCUGAGGUUACUGCCCCUUUCCAACAUGGUCUCUCUCUGUGACACUCUUCUUCCAGACCUUAGAAUUUAAAUUCGAGGUUCCUUCUCCUCACCACUUUUGGGCCUAGAGGUGGUAAAGCACCCAGGCUGGUCCUCACAGCUGGGCUGCUGUGGUUAGUGAAAGGGUAAACUGAAUCCCCCAUAACCAAUAAGUUCUGAAUGCUUCCCUGUGUUAAGACACAAGUCUAAGAGUUAAUGGUCACAGUUUUUAUAACCUUUCAUUUUGGAGAUAAAGCCAAAUUAUAUUCCACAUAUUCCCCAAGGAAAGCAAUAUUCGUUGAGGACCUUCUACUUGCCAGAAUAGUAUAUUUUAAUCCUUCUAGGAGCAGAAAGUAGAAUAGCAUUAUCUCCAUCUUAUAGAUGAGGAAGUAUGUUCAGUAAAAUUACAUAGCCUGGAGCUACACAGCUAGUGUGUUUCCGAUGUGAGAGCUAAACACAACUUUCCUGAUUUUCCUGAGCAACCCCGCAAUUUCAAAAAAAGAAUGAAUCCUUAUCUGGAAUGAUCCAUGAACAAUUGCAGCGGUUGAGGCAUGACUCUACAUUUCUUUGUUCUGCUGAUUUUUUCACAGCCAACUUUGCUAAGGCUGCAUCGUAUAAAAGGUGCAUCAUUUACAAGGAGGCUUACUGAAGUAAAUAGGUGCGUCUCUCUUAGUGGCCUUGAUCUAUGCUAUCUUUGAGAAGCCAAAGGUAGGACAGUACUAAGCCUCAAAUGGAGCUAUUAAGAGAGAAAGGGAGAGACAGAGACAGAAAGAAAGGGAGGAAGAGAGAGAGAAGCUUACAUUUUGCCCUCCUUUGCAGCUCGUGCCUUAUGUUCCAGAUGGUCAACUCUGUGUUGGGACUAGUUAAUUUCACAUUGCAAAAUAUUAUAUGGGGUAGCAGGUGGAAAUGCCCACUGUGAGAAAUGAAGAGAAAGAAAAUCUGAGCUGUAGAGGGAAAAAGACAUGAAAACAGUUUGCCUAAGCCUUGGAACCAAAUAUUUUGUUCAGCGAAAUCUAAUAGUUACUGAGGAUACACACAGCACCAUCCAAAUCAGAAGUUGGCUGUUUUUCAGCUGUGUGACUUUUGACUAGUUAAUCAACAUCUCUGAGUCCUUCUUUUCCUAAUUAAUAAAAUGGAGUUAAUCAUA